This 1346-nucleotide ribosomal RNA is filed under the name uncultured bacterium. RNAcentral's name for it is "bacterial SSU rRNA". It matches the Rfam family "Bacterial small subunit ribosomal RNA", at positions 28 to 1381 of the family's 1533-position model. The record is from RNAcentral.
GACGAACGCUGGCGGCGCGCCUAACACAUGCAAGUCGAACGGAGCCAAUCUGAUGAAGUUUUCGGAUGGAAUCAGAGGAAGCUUAGUGGCGGACGGGUGAGUAACACGUGAGCAACCUGCCUCUAAGAGUGGGAUAACAUAGGGAAACUUGUGCUAAUACCGCAUAAAGUAUAUGUACGGCAUCGUAUAGAUACCAAAGAUUUAUCGCUUAGAGAUGGGCUCGCGCCUGAUUAGAUAGUUGGUGAGGUAACGGCUCACCAAGUCGACGAUCGGUAGCCGGACUGAGAGGUUGAACGGCCACAUUGGGACUGAGACACGGCCCAGACUCCUACGGGAGGCAGCAGUGAGGGAUUUUGCACAAUGGGGGAAACCCUGAUGCAGCGACGCCGCGUGCAGGAAGACGGUCUUCGGAUUGUAAACUGCUGUCGUAAGGGACGAAGAUGACGGUACCUUACAAGAAAGCUCCGGCUAACUAUGUGCCAGCAGCCGCGGUAAUACAUAGGGAGCAAGCGUUGUCCGGAAUUACUGGGUGUAAAGGGAGCGUAGGCGGGAAGGCAAGUUGGAUGUGAAAACUAUGGGCUCAACCCAUAGACUGCAUUCAAAACUGUUUUUCUUGAGUGAAGUAGAGGCAGGCGGAAUUCCUAGUGUAGCGGUGAAAUGCAUAGAUAUUAGGAGGAACACCAGUGGCGAAGGCGGCCUGCUGGGCUUUUACUGACGCUGAGGCUCGAAAGCGUGGGUAGCAAACAGGAUUAGAUACCCUGGUAGUCCACGCUGUAAACGAUGAUUACUAGGUGUGGGGGGACUGACCCCUUCCGUGCCGGAGUUAACACAAUAAGUAAUCCACCUGGGGAGUACGGCCGCAAGGCUGAAACUCAAAGGAAUUGACGGGGGCCCGCACAAGCAGUGGAGUAUGUGGUUUAAUUCGAAGCAACGCGAAGAACCUUACCAGGUCUUGACAUCCGAUGAAUAGCAUAGAGAUAUGUGAAGUCCUUUGGGACAUCGAGACAGGUGGUGCAUGGUUGUCGUCAGCUCGUGUCGUGAGAUGUUGGGUUAAGUCCCGCAACGAGCGCAACCCUUAUGUUUAGUUGCUACGCAAGAGCACUCUAGACAGACUGCCGUUGACAAAACGGAGGAAGGUGGGGAUGACGUCAAAUCAUCAUGCCCCUUAUGACCUGGGCUACACACGUACUACAAUGGUGUAUAACAGAGGGAAGCGAAGCCGUGAGGUGGAGCAAAUCCCAGAAAAUACAUCUCAGUUCAGAUUGCAGGCUGCAACUCGCCUGCAUGAAGUCGGAAUUGCUAGUAAUCGCAGAUCAGCAUGCUGCGGUGAAUACGUUCCCGGGCCU